This 1868-nucleotide long non-coding RNA is filed under the name Anas platyrhynchos platyrhynchos (common mallard). Its description in RNAcentral is "lncRNA (ENSAPLG00000019955.1)". Lineage: Eukaryota; Metazoa; Chordata; Aves; Anseriformes; Anatidae. The record is from RNAcentral.
ACCACCAUGGCAAGGAGAUGCCCAGCCUGGGACAGCUUAAACUGGUGGCCGGCGAGGAGCCAGGCGGGGCCUUUGGGUGGCACACACCUUGGCACGGCUCAGGGUGAAGGCCAGGCUCGGCGUGGUGCCACCGGCAGCAGGACAGGGGUGUCACCACGAAGCCACCAGCCUGGCGCCGCGGGUCCCCUGCCACCAACCGGGCGGAUAACAUAGACCUCUCCAUUCGGAAGAGCCCUUUUGUCUCCUUGACCUCUUCAUUUCGGCCACAGCUCCCGUCCUGCCCAUGCUGCACCCAGGGGCUUGCACUUGGCUGGUGCCCAAUGUCCCCAGCGGGUCCCAGCGGCCGUGGCGGGGACACGGGGACACAGUGUGCGGGUGGGAUGGGGCCGGACCACGGGGCUUCGAGGGUCCUGCAGAGGAUGUGGGGGGUCCUGCGGAGGCCAGAAGCGCCCCCCAGGACGGGACACGUCUCCUGGGAAGGGGCCGGCACCGGCCGUCCCCCCGUGGCGCACGGGACGCGGGGCGCACGGAGAGCGCGGAGCCUCCCCCGGCGGGGCUCGGGGGACCCCCGGCAUGGGGGGCAGCUCGGAACCGGGGGGGUCUCGCCCACCCCCGGCCGCCCCCGCCGUGGUUCGCCCCGCUCCCCCUGCCGUCGGCGGCGUGGUACGGCUCGGGGGCGGCGCGCUCGGCCCGGAGCCGCUCGGGGGGGGCCGUGCCGGGCCGUGCCGGGCCGGGCUCCGGCGGGGCCAUGAGCGCGGCGGGCGGCCGGGACGCCUGCUGGAGAUAUCUGGACAUGGCCAGGGAGGCCAAGCCGAGCCGGGCCAGGCUGGGCCAGAAGAGGCAGCACAGCAGCAGCCUGUACCAGUGAGUGCCAGGACGUGGUGGGGAGGGCAUGGAAAUGGGGGGAGCUCCUCUUCCUCCCACUGCUCUUCAUCCCUUCAGUCCUUCUUCUGCAUGCCCUUGGUGGUGGAUGCUCACCCGGCUCCAUAGGAUGUCCCGACCCUGUCUCCAUGGGCACCUCCCUAACCCCAACCCCAACCCUAACCCUAACCCUCCUCACCGAGGGUCUGAGGCUUCUUCUACCCAGCAGAAGAUCCCUGUGGUCUCCACAUGGUUGCAGUUUGGGCUUUUAAAUGAGGUCCCUUGGGGGACAGGUGCCCAAGCAGAGAUCUGGGGGCAUGGUGUCCUACCCACACGGGGAUGGGGGCCACCAGCAGAAGGGUCGGUCCCUGUCCCUGUCUGUGUUCAGCUCCUGGGCUCCGCAGGGACCCUCGUCCCCGCUGGGUGCCACACGGGCACGUGGCACAGAGGGGACCAGAGCCAGCACCGGGCUCUGCCUCUCGUUAGAGAGCUUCUGGAUUGAAUUAAUUGCUCUGCCCGUUGCCAUGGCACCGGGGCCAUGCAGGGAGGCAGCGCUGGCAGGGCAGGGACCGCGGUCCCCGUGGCUGCUGGAGCACGGAGCCGCUGCAUCGCUCUUCCCGCGGGAUGCUCUGAGGGGCCGUGCUCAUCCACAGCAAAUCCCAUCUCAGGGUCACACCGCAGAGCGAGGCCAGCACGUGGUGAGCCGGUGACCGCGCGCGUCCGGCUUCGUGCGUAGAAAUGGCAGGAGGCACACCGCAAGUCCCGGGGUGCUCCUUCCUCCCCGGUGGGACACGCUGCCCUGGUGGCAGCAAGGGACAGAGCGCAGGUGCCCGAGGCUGCUGUGGCAGCGGCGAUGCUCUGAGCUUUGUCUCACCUCGUGCGAGGCUGAAUCCAGCGCUCAUCGACUCCGCGAGAGCUGAAGCGGCAAAAUGAGCAUCAGCGCCUUGCCUCCUCCGUGGCGUGUGAUUUAUUGCCGGCGUGCCGGCUCCCCGCGCGGGAGGCAGUUU